UGCGGGAUCGUCUAAUGGUAGGACGCCAGGUUCUGGCCCUGGUAGUCGGGGUUCGAGUCCCUGUCCCGCAG
This 71-nucleotide transfer RNA is filed under the name Calditrichota bacterium. RNAcentral's name for it is "Calditrichaeota bacterium (hydrothermal vent metagenome) tRNA-Gln". It matches the Rfam family "tRNA". From Rfam's summary of the family: Transfer RNA (tRNA) molecules are approximately 80 nucleotides in length. Their secondary structure includes four short double-helical elements and three loops (D, anti-codon, and T loops). The record is from RNAcentral. Lineage: Bacteria; Pseudomonadati; Calditrichota.